UCCGGUUUGUCACCGGCAGUCCCAUUAGAGUGCCCAACUUAAUGUGGCAACUAAUGGCAAGGGUUGCGCUCGUUGCGGGACUUAACCCAACAUCUCACGACACGAGCUGACGACAGCCAUGCAGCACCUGUGUUACGGUUCCCUUUCGGGCACGAAGCCAUCUCUGGCAACUUCCGUACAUGUCAAAGGUGGGUAAGGCUUUUCGCGUUGCAUCGAAUUAAACCACAUGCUCCACCGCUUGUGCGGGCCCCCGUCAAUUCCUUUGAGUUUCAGCCUUGCGGCCGUACUCCCCAGGCGGGGCACUUAAUGCGUUAGCGCCGGCCCUCAAGGGGUCGCUCCCCCAAGGACCUAGUGCCCAUCGUUUACGGCGUGGACUAC
This 378-nucleotide unclassified non-coding RNA is filed under the name uncultured bacterium. RNAcentral's name for it is "contains 16S-23S intergenic spacer region". The record is from RNAcentral.